Molecule: unclassified non-coding RNA, 281 nt
Filed under: uncultured fungus
Lineage: Eukaryota; Fungi
Description: partial contains small subunit ribosomal RNA, internal transcribed spacer 1, and 5.8S ribosomal RNA
Rfam family: Eukaryotic small subunit ribosomal RNA (bases 1-73)
Source: RNAcentral
GCAAACUUGGUCAUUUAGAGGAAGUAAAAGUCGUAACAAGGUUUCCGUAGGUGAACCUGCGGAAGGAUCAUUACUGCUUGCUUAUGGCUUCUGUGUGGGAAACUAUGCAGUUGUCAGGCUUGCUACCCUUGUCUAUACAACCCACCGUUAUCUCCCUCGGCAGGGUGACCUGUCGCUGGGGUCUAAACAACCUCUUGUUACAGUAUUAUCUUCAGAAACACACAAUAAUCACAACUUUUAACAAUGGAUCUCUUGGUUCUGGCAUCGAUGAAGAACGCAGC